AAACUUUACACUGUGCGAAAGCACGAUAAGGGAACUCUGAGUGCCCCCUACGGGGGCUGUUCUAGUGUCUAAAAAGCAAUAGAAGUAAGGGCUGGGCAAGACCGGUGCCAGCCGCCGCGGUAACACCGGCAGCCCAAGUGGUAGCCACGUUUAUUGGGUCUAAAGCGUUCGUAGCCGGCUUGGUAAGUUCCUUGGUAAAUUUAGCCGCUUAACGGUUAAGCUUUCAGGGAAUACUGCUUGGCUUGGGACUGGGAGAGGUCAGAGGUACUCCAGGGGUAGGGGUGAAAUCCAUUAAUCCUUGGGGGACCACCGGUAGCGAAGGCGUCUGACCAGACCAGCUCCGACGGUGAGGGACGAAGGCUAGGGGCGCGAACCGGAUUAGAUACCCGGGUAGUCCUAGCUGUAAACGAUGCGGGCUAGGUGUUGGCAUUACUGCGAGUGGUGCCAGUGCCGAAGGGAAGCCGUUAAGCUCGCCAUCUGGGGAGUACGGACGCAAGGCUUAAACUUAA
RNAcentral lists this ribosomal RNA (509 nucleotides) under uncultured archaeon. Its description in RNAcentral is "bacterial SSU rRNA". It matches the Rfam family "Archaeal small subunit ribosomal RNA", at positions 345 to 859 of the family's 1478-position model. The record is from RNAcentral.